GCCAUCCUUAGGGUUCAGUACUUUCUUUGAACCCUUAAAAUUUGAUUUCUUUUUAGAGGUUUUACCCACAAGAAGAAGUGGAGCCUUUUCUUUCUUAAUAUGGCUCUCAGCUGUCUUGAGCAUAUUCAACAGCUCAGGCAAGGAGGUAUUCAGUUUGUUCAUGUGAUAGUUCAUGACAAACUGAGCGAACGAUUUGGGA
RNAcentral lists this long non-coding RNA (199 nucleotides) under Elaeis guineensis (African oil palm). RNAcentral's name for it is "long non-coding RNA (EGUI_LNC038314)". Lineage: Eukaryota; Viridiplantae; Streptophyta; Magnoliopsida; Arecales; Arecaceae. The record is from RNAcentral.